GAAAAUCCGUUGACUUUAAAAAUCGUGAGGGUUCAAGUCCCUCUAUCCCCAAAAA
RNAcentral lists this transfer RNA (55 nucleotides) under Falcaria vulgaris. RNAcentral describes it as "partial tRNA-Leu". The record is from RNAcentral. Lineage: Eukaryota; Viridiplantae; Streptophyta; Magnoliopsida; Apiales; Apiaceae.